AAGUUGUAAACUAUCCAUUUUCAACGUCCCUUUAAGAGUCGUUUUCCACCUUUUCUAAUAUUUAUGUUAAUUAACAUUUAUAUCUCUUUGGUAUAUAAUUUAUGAAAACUCUUAAAAAUACACAAAUCAUUGAAAUAUUAGUAUGUGUUUCUCUUUGCUUAUAGAAAAAAAAGAAAAAAGGAAUAAUACACUUGAUUAAUAAUACAAUUCUG
This 212-nucleotide long non-coding RNA is filed under the name Capsella rubella. RNAcentral describes it as "long non-coding RNA (CRUB_LNC004681)". Lineage: Eukaryota; Viridiplantae; Streptophyta; Magnoliopsida; Brassicales; Brassicaceae. The record is from RNAcentral.